UUUCAGUGCAAUGUGUAAUACAAUAAUGCUCUGGGCUCCCCGGCCAUCCUGAAAGUCGAUCCUCUGAUGAAACAAACCAUUAGGCAGCCACACUCCAGCCCAGCCACUGAGAGGAAAUCGAAGAGAAGAGUUCCCUGGCCGGGCCAGGCAGGACAGCCUAUCAGCUCCUGGUCACUGUCACUGAUCAUCCCAGCCCAGGCUGCGGCUCUUCUCCCCGCAUGGCAUGACGACGCCAUCACCCUCAUAGUUACCAAAGUGUUAGAAUAGUCGUGACCACUAAAAAAGGGAGAAAGAGGGCUGGAGAGAAACGACUGCAACGAGAGCAAAAAGGAAAAACAGUAAAGACGUUAGAGACAUUCAUUUUGGAAACACCCUCACGUUACAGAGCACCCAACGAAUACUAUGAAAAGUGGUCAUUAUCAGCCCGGCAAACACUGCUGUGCCGUCUUGCUUGCGAGGAAUGCUGCUGCAUGGGUUUCAAGACAAGAAUCCAGGCUGAAUCAGCAGUGCGGUUUCAACAGUGAUGAGAACAAGUAACUAAGAUCUCUUCUUCCCUUAUUGCUGCAGAAGAGCAAUUAAGGCUGCAUAUUUAGAGAUGAUAUCAGCCAGGAAUCCUGCACAGAGAGAAAAACUCGUUGCAUUUUUUUCUUUCUUCCUUUCCCCGUUCCCUUUUCUGUCCAAAGGAAACCCACAGCAAACUGCGUAAAUGCCGCAGGCACGCAAGCCGACUCCAAACCGCCUACCAAGGGUCAGCUCUACCUGCAGCUGUUGCACAAAAUAAAAUCAACGCAGCCCACCCCAGGCAAACACCCUCUGUGGCUCUUUAUUACCAAAUGAUAUGAACUUUGACCCAACCUGAACAAAAUUUAAUAUUUUCUCCCAAAUAUUUAAAAAAUUCAUUCUGGGGCUUGAGUGGAGUCAGGGAGUCUGCGAGCCGUAAUUUGACAUCUGAAUUAUUCUGAGGCUAAUACGGAAAGCUAUUCAGGAGCUUAUUUGGAGAUGUGUCAAUCAAGAUAUCACUUGUACAGGGAAGAUGGACUCAGGCUUAGGAGUGCAGAUAGCUUUCAGGGAAUCACAAAAUAAAAACCAGGCAGGCUCUGAUGAAUACGUUACGUCUUCAUUCUUGAUGAUGACAUUUUUUUUUUCUUGAUAGAGAGUACAGACCUAACAGAGCGAUGUCUCAGGGACGUGCCUUUUUCCACACCUGUGAAAACAUUUUAACGUUUAUUUAAAAUGAUAACCAUAAACAACAAACAUGGUGUCGAAACUCGCCUCUGUUCAUUUUACUGCGCUGAUUAAGAUUUUAAGCAACGCUUCUAAAUUAGACUGUCAGGCAGCCAUCCUCAAUGCAGGGUUGAGGUUCUGAUCUCGAGCUAGCUUGUGUGAACACACGGCCUUUCUGGGUUGAUUGUGAGCCUGGCCAGCAGCCUUCAAUGUUCUUUCAUUCAUUUUCGAUGAGACGGGGAGGGAUUCAAUUAGCCCUGAUUGUCCAUGAGAUGUGGCCCAAAAUAAAACCACUGGGCUCUGAUAGCCUCCUCUCAAGGUAUUUCCCAGCUGACAGGUAACAAUGUUAAUUACCCAUUAUUAUGA
Molecule: long non-coding RNA, 1590 nt
Filed under: Homo sapiens (human)
Lineage: Eukaryota; Metazoa; Chordata; Mammalia; Primates; Hominidae
Description: HSALNT0231340
Source: RNAcentral